RNAcentral lists this long non-coding RNA (1928 nucleotides) under Helianthus annuus (common sunflower). RNAcentral describes it as "hypothetical non coding rna". Lineage: Eukaryota; Viridiplantae; Streptophyta; Magnoliopsida; Asterales; Asteraceae. The record is from RNAcentral.
GUGUGUGUUCGUGAAGCUUCAGGAGCUCUCAAGAACUCCAAACCCUAAACAUGAAAGAUCAUCCAAAUUGAAAGGCUAAAUGAUGCUUAAAUCUAUAAUCGAGCAUGGAUUAAUGAUCACCAACAUGAGGAGAUCAUAAGAUGAAAGUAUAGGAAUAUGAUGAUGUUAUGUUCAAUGUUCAUUUGGAUGGAUAGCAUGUCUACGGGCUCAAGUAUGGAGGCUAACUGGUCAAAAGGAAGCAUGGAACCUAUGCUUGAACUUGGGCGCACAAGGUAAGUGACAUCCAACUCACUUCUUAGUAUACAUAAGAACCUUCUUGUUAUAAAUGAAGGGAAGUCAUGUAUGGUAUGGAAUGAUUGAAGGUAUUAAGAUAAGUAUUAAUCUAGAUAGUCGAAGAUAGUUUGUGGGACUAAACGGGUUGAAUAAUUAUGUAUAAGUAAGGUAGCGGUAAUGAAAUUCGUUAAGAAUGUGGACCCGAGGCAAGGAUUCUUAGUCAAAAAUGUAGGGAAAGGUUUUACGGACAAUUGGAAACAAGUUAUGUUGAUAUAUGCAUGAACGGGUCAAAAUUUGGUAAAAGGGUAAUAAGCCGAAGGCUUAUAAGUCAUAAAGUUAGGUAGUCUAUAUAUUGGAUUUUUACUCUAUGUGAUAGAGAAUUAAAUUACGGUCGCGUAGGAAAAAGAAUCGGGUAAAACGGAUCAAAAACGAGCAAGUUAUGCGAGUUUUAGUGUGAAAGAUGGGAGCUGAUCUGGGCACCACCGUAGCUUACGGUGCCACCGUAAGCUACGGUGGGAACUGGGCAUUUAUUCCUGCCGUAAGGCAGACUAGAACUACCGUAAGCAUUUGGGGCCACCGUAAGCUACGGUAGCCACCGUAGCUUACGGUGGAGGUCUGAUGCAAAUGUAUUGUUUAUGUAAUUUCUUCGUUUUUCCUCGAACUCGGACCCCGUGAACCCAUUCCAAGCCUCGUUAAGUCUUUAUAAUGUUCCUUAACCUUACCAAAUGGCUUGGUAAGUUACGGAUGAGUAUGAAACUCACUUUUAAGAUCCGAAAUAUAUCUGAAAGAUAUUUUAAAAGCAUUUAUGACAUGUGAUUCAGUUCGGAACGUGUGAGCGUGUACGCGGGGUAAUGAAUUAAGUAUGUGAGUAGGUAUGCUUGUAGGUAUUAAUGUAUGUAUGUAUGUAUGUAUGAAAGCACCUAAGUAGGUAAGUUGUACGCCGUAAUGUAUGCAUGUAUGUAAAUAUGUGAGUAGGAUGUUUGUACGUAGUAAUGUAUGUAUAUAUGCAUGUAAGUAAGUAUGUGAGUAGGUAUGUUUGUAUGUAGUAAUGUAUGUAUGUAUGUAUGUAAACAUGUAAGUAGGUAUGUUUGUAUGCCGUAAUGUAUGUAUGAAUGUAAGUAUGUGAGCUGGUAUGUUUGUAUGAAGUAAUGUAUGUAUGAAUGUGUGUAGGUAUGUAUAUACGUAGUUAUGUAUGUAAUGCAUACGUGGUUUCAAUACACUUAAGUAUUGACGUUAUUAACAGUGUGCCUCGAGAAUGAAAUGUGGUGCAGGUACUCCAUCGAGGUUCGCUAAGGAUUAGGCACCCGGAUGGAAUGACUACAUCUAGAAAGAUAACGGAUGGAAAGAAUAUGUGGAUAGAACAAAUCGAGACUACACGAUUAAGAAUCUUGUUUGUAUAUAAUGUAUGCUAAUGUUUCGAUUGUAUGUGGUGGGUGCAGGUAGUACGAAUCACAGAUUUUCAUCACAAGGAGUAGCGAUCAAAGACCGAGUCACAAGUCAGAUUGUACGGGAAUACUUGACUAUGUAAAUUGAUAGUUAUAAGUUAUGCUUUUGUUAUGUAAAUGAGUAUAAAAUAUGCAUAUAAUGUAAGAAAGUGUUUCAUAAUGAACUUGCUAGUAGGUCAAAACGUUCUUAAUGAAAGAAAUUUUUAUGGA